Molecule: ribosomal RNA, 354 nt
Filed under: uncultured Tenacibaculum sp.
Lineage: Bacteria; Pseudomonadati; Bacteroidota; Flavobacteriia; Flavobacteriales; Flavobacteriaceae
Description: bacterial SSU rRNA
Rfam family: Bacterial small subunit ribosomal RNA
Source: RNAcentral
GGAGGCACUCUGAUCCAGCCAUGCCGCGUGCAGGAAGACUGCCCUAUGGGUUGUAAACUGCUUUUAUAGAGGAAGAAACAGUAUUACGUGUAGUGCCUUGACGGUACUCUACGAAUAAGGAUCGGCUAACUCCGUGCCAGCAGCCGCGGUAAUACGGAGGAUCCAAGCGUUAUCCGGAAUCAUUGGGUUUAAAGGGUCCGUAGGCGGGUAUAUAAGUCAGAGGUGAAAGUUUGCGGCUCAACCGUGAAAUUGCCAUUGAUACUGGAUGUCUUGAAUUAUUGUGAAGUGGUUAGAAUAUGUAGUGUAGCGGUGAAAUGCAUAGAUAUUACAUAGAAUACCGAUUGCGAAGGCAGA